This 341-nucleotide ribosomal RNA is filed under the name uncultured bacterium. RNAcentral's name for it is "bacterial SSU rRNA". It matches the Rfam family "Bacterial small subunit ribosomal RNA", at positions 32 to 352 of the family's 1533-position model. The record is from RNAcentral.
AAUCAACGCUGGCGGCGUGCCUCAGACAUGCAAGUCGAACGCGAAAGUUUCCUUCGGGGGACAAGUAGAGUGGCGCACGGGUGAGUAACACGUAGGUAAUCUACCUUUGGAUGGGGAAGUAACAACCGGAAACGGUUGCUAAUACCGCAUAAUGCAGCGGCACCUAAUGGUGACAGUUGUUAAAGCGGGGGAUCGAAAGACCUCGCGUCUGAAGAGGAGCCUGCGGCGGAUUAGCUAGNGGUAAGGUAAUGGCUUACCAAGGCUACGAUCCGUAACCGGCCUGAGAGGGCGGUCGGUCACACUGACACUGACAUACGGGUCAGACUCCUACGGGAGGCAGC